This 460-nucleotide ribosomal RNA is filed under the name uncultured bacterium. RNAcentral's name for it is "partial 16S ribosomal RNA". It matches the Rfam family "Bacterial small subunit ribosomal RNA", at positions 338 to 795 of the family's 1533-position model. The record is from RNAcentral.
CCUACGGGAGGCAGCAGUGAGGAAUAUUGGUCAAUGGACGAGAGUCUGAACCAGCCAAGUAGCGUGAAGGAUAACUGCCCUAUGGGUUGUAAACUUCUUUUAUAUGGGAAUAAAAUGUUCCACGUGUGGGAUUUUGUAUGUACCAUAUGAAUAAGGAUCGGCUAACUCCGUGCCAGCAGCCGCGGGAAUACGGAGGAUCCGAGCGUUAGCCGGAUUUAUUGGGUUUAAAGGGAGCGUAGGUGGAUUGUUAAGUCAGUUGUGAAAGUUUGCGGCUCAACCGUAAAAUUGCAGUUGAAACUGGCAGUCUUGAGUACAGUAGAGGUGGGCGGAAUUCGUGGUGUAGCGGUGAAAUGCUUAGAUAUCACGAAGAACUCCGAUUGCGAAGGCAGUUCACUGGACUGCAACUGACACUGAGGCUCGAAAGUGUGGGUAUCAAACAGGAUUAGAUACCCUUGUAGUC